GAUGAAGAACGCAGCGAAAUGCGAUAAGUAGUGUGAAUUGCAGAAUUCCGUGAAUCAUCGAAUCUUUGAACGCACAUUGCGCCCCCUGGCAUUCCUAGGGACAUGCCUGUUCGAGCGUCAUUAACAACCAUCAAGCGGGACCUGUCUGCCUCGCUUGGCCAUGGGGGAUGGCCGCCCUCGGGGCGCCCACCCCCGAAAUACAACGGCGGACAGCCACCACGGGGCACCCGGGCGUAGUAAGUUGCUCUCUCGCCCGCGCCCACGGAAUGGACUGUCCGGCCGGUCGAACCCCCAACAUCCAAUGGUUGACCUCGGAUCAGGUAGGGAUACCCGCUGAACUUAAGCAUAUCAAUAAGCGGAGGA
Molecule: unclassified non-coding RNA, 363 nt
Filed under: soil metagenome
Description: partial contains 5.8S ribosomal RNA, internal transcribed spacer 2, and large subunit ribosomal RNA
Rfam family: 5.8S ribosomal RNA (bases 1-120)
Source: RNAcentral